UACGGAGGAUCCAAGCGUUAUCCGGAAUCAUUGGGUUUAAAGGGUCCGUAGGCGGUUUUGUAAGUCAGUGGUGAAAGCCCAUCGCUCAACGGUGGAACGGCCAUUGAUACUGCAAGACUUGAAUUAUUGGGAAGUAACUAGAAUAUGUAGUGUAGCGGUGAAAUGCUUAGAGAUUACAUGGAAUACCAAUUGCGAAGGCAGGUUACUGCCAAUAUAUUGACGCUGAUGGACGAAAGCGUGGGGAGCGAACAGG
This 253-nucleotide ribosomal RNA is filed under the name uncultured bacterium. Its description in RNAcentral is "partial 16S ribosomal RNA". It matches the Rfam family "Bacterial small subunit ribosomal RNA", at positions 524 to 776 of the family's 1533-position model. The record is from RNAcentral.